Molecule: unclassified non-coding RNA, 337 nt
Filed under: soil metagenome
Description: partial contains 5.8S ribosomal RNA, internal transcribed spacer 2, and large subunit ribosomal RNA
Rfam family: 5.8S ribosomal RNA (bases 1-120)
Source: RNAcentral
GAUGAAGAACGUAGCGAAAUGCGAUAAGUAAUGUGAAUUGCAGAAUUCAGUGAAUCAUCGAAUCUUUGAACGCACAUUGCGCCCGCCAGUAUUCUGGCGGGCAUGCCUGUUCGAGCGUCAUUUCAACCAUCAAGCCCCCGGGCUUGUGUUGGGGACCUGCGGCUGCCGCAGGCCCUGAAAAGCAGUGGCGGGCUCGCUGUCACACCGAGCGUAGUAGAUUUUAUCUCGCUCUGGGCGUGCUGCGGGUUCCGGCCGUUAAACCACCCUUUUAACCCAAGGUUGACCUCGGAUCAGGCAGGAAGACCCGCUGAACUUAAGCAUAUCAAUAAGCGGAGGA